CGGUCGUACCGGCGGGUAAUCAGCCUUUCGGGUAUGAUUCUGCGGAGCGUGAGGAGUUAAACGCCUUCAUGCCUGCAUAUCCGUGUACUUUGGGUGUACCUGCCUGUGUGGUUAGUUAACAUCAAUUUUGGUUAUCAUAAAAUGGUUGGAGGAAUGGUAGCUUCGAUCUCGUAUUGAAGUGUUAUAGCCUUCGGCAGAUGUGAUGAUCGGAGAUUGGAGGUAUU
RNAcentral lists this ribosomal RNA (224 nucleotides) under Glomus sp. (unid). The record is from RNAcentral. Lineage: Eukaryota; Fungi; Glomeromycota; Glomeromycetes; Glomerales; Glomeraceae.